This 111-nucleotide Y RNA is filed under the name Carlito syrichta (Philippine tarsier). Its description in RNAcentral is "Y RNA (ENSTSYG00000021593.2)". It matches the Rfam family "Y RNA". From Rfam's summary of the family: Y RNAs are components of the Ro ribonucleoprotein particle (Ro RNP), in association with Ro60 and La proteins. The Y RNAs and Ro60 and La proteins are well conserved, but the function of the Ro RNP is not known. Lineage: Eukaryota; Metazoa; Chordata; Mammalia; Primates; Tarsiidae. The record is from RNAcentral.
AGCUGGUCUGAAGGUACUAAAUUAUCUAAAUUGAUUAUUCACAGUCAGCUAGAUUGAACUCCUUGUUCUAUCUUUUCCCUGCUUCUCACUGUUGCACUUGACUAAUCUGAA